CGUACUCCGGUGCGGCCAACUGUCGUGGAGCUUGUGUUUUCAGUCCCCCCCUGCCUAGUGCGCUUUUGCACGGAACGGACAAUGUUCAGUGGGUGCUUGUGUGGGUACUUUCGAGGGAACACGAAUUCUGGCCGGUGAUGGAUUCUUUCUUGCUCGGAUUGCAACUUUUUGUCGUCCGUGCAUUAGCAAUGUCGGCGGUGUUGUAGCCGUGCGUGGGCUGAUGCUCCUCGUGACGGACUAGGCUACCGCCGCCUCUUGCGGAUGUUGUAGCCAUUGAGUGUUGUGCGGUCCUUUGGUCCGCUUGUUUCCUCCGGAGGUCCUCUGGGCGAAACACUCCUCUGCCGCCAGUCCUCUCAAGGCGGGCUGUAGGGGCAUGGUCUCGUUCGUGAGAGAUGUCCGAUGUUGCCUAAAAGCGAUUGCCGGUCUGCUUCGCACGGGAAGCUCAGUGCCGUCUCUCGUUUAUGACGUGCUACCUGGUUGAUCCUGCCAGUAGUC
This 495-nucleotide unclassified non-coding RNA is filed under the name Becquerelia cymosa. RNAcentral describes it as "partial external transcribed spacer 1". Lineage: Eukaryota; Viridiplantae; Streptophyta; Magnoliopsida; Poales; Cyperaceae. The record is from RNAcentral.